GCGGGCUAAGGACUUAGCAAAGCCCUUAGCUUGAGGAAAGUCCGGGCUCCUGAAAGGUCAGGCUUGCUGGGUAAUUCCCAGUGCGGGUGACCGUGAGGAUAGUGCCACAGAAACAUACCGCCAAUGGAAAGGCGGAAGGCGGAAGGCGGAAGGCGGAAUUUAAAUUCAUCCUUCAUCCUUCAUCCUUCAUCCUUUUACAGGUAAGGGUGCAAAGGUGCGGUAAGAGCGCACCAGCAGCAUCGAGAGGUGCUGGCUCGGUAAACCCCGGCUAGGAGCAAGGUCGCAGGGGUCAUGGUUGACCUUUUUCCAGCCCCGCUUUUGGUGUAC
This 327-nucleotide RNase P RNA is filed under the name Leptolyngbya sp. PCC 7375. RNAcentral describes it as "Bacterial RNase P class A". It matches the Rfam family "Bacterial RNase P class A", at positions 19 to 276 of the family's 367-position model. Rfam says of the family: Ribonuclease P (RNase P) is a ubiquitous endoribonuclease, found in archaea, bacteria and eukarya as well as chloroplasts and mitochondria. Its best characterised activity is the generation of mature 5'-ends of tRNAs by cleaving the 5'-leader elements of precursor-tRNAs. Cellular RNase Ps are ribonucleoproteins. Lineage: Bacteria; Bacillati; Cyanobacteriota; Cyanophyceae; Leptolyngbyales; Leptolyngbyaceae. The record is from RNAcentral.